GCCUGGGUGGCUCAGUCGGUUAAGCGUCUGACUUCAGCUCAGGUCAUGAUCUCACAGUUUGUGAGUUCGAGCCCCACAUCGGGCU
This 85-nucleotide transfer RNA is filed under the name Felis catus (domestic cat). It matches the Rfam family "tRNA". Rfam says of the family: Transfer RNA (tRNA) molecules are approximately 80 nucleotides in length. Their secondary structure includes four short double-helical elements and three loops (D, anti-codon, and T loops). Lineage: Eukaryota; Metazoa; Chordata; Mammalia; Carnivora; Felidae. RNAcentral also lists the same sequence under 1 other name. The record is from Rfam by way of RNAcentral.